GACGAACGCUGGCGGCGUGCUUAACACAUGCAAGUCGAACGGAAAGGCCCUGCUUUUGUGGGGUGCUCGAGUGGCGAACGGGUGAGUAACACGUGAGUAACCUGCCCUUGACUUUGGGAUAACUUCAGGAAACUGGGGCUAAUACCGGAUAGGAGCUCCUGCUGCAUGGUGGGGGUUGGAAAGUUUCGGCGGUUGGGGAUGGACUCGCGGCUUAUCAGCUUGUUGGUGGGGUAGUGGCUUACCAAGGCUUUGACGGGUAGCCGGCCUGAGAGGGUGACCGGCCACAUUGGGUCUGAGAUACGGCCCAGACUCCUACGGGAGGCAGCAGUGGGGAAUAUUGCACAAUGGGCGGAAGCCUGAUGCAGCAACGCCGCGUGCGGGAUGACGGCCUUCGGGUUGUAAACCGCUUUCGCCUGUGACGAAGCGUUAGUGACGGUAAUGGGUAAAGAAGCACCGGCUAACUACGUG
This 468-nucleotide ribosomal RNA is filed under the name uncultured bacterium. RNAcentral describes it as "partial 16S ribosomal RNA". It matches the Rfam family "Bacterial small subunit ribosomal RNA", at positions 28 to 507 of the family's 1533-position model. The record is from RNAcentral.